This is a long non-coding RNA of Gorilla gorilla gorilla (western lowland gorilla), 3981 nucleotides long. RefSeq lists it as uncharacterized. The transcript is spliced from 6 exons. The record is from RefSeq and is a predicted model, not a curated record. NCBI's taxonomy places the organism in Eukaryota, Metazoa, Chordata, Mammalia, Primates, Hominidae.
ACAAUGCCUUUCACUUAAAUAGCAUUUGGAUUUCUUAAAAUCCACAGAGUUUAUAUUAGAGCGUCAUCCAUUAAUGCUUUGGCUAGGAGGGGGUCUAUCGCCCUGGUUGGAGUGCAGCAGUGUAAUCAUAGCUCACUGCUGCCAUGAACUUCUGGGCUCAAGCGAUCCUCCCACCUCAGCCUCCCUGUGUGCUGGGAUUAAAAGUGUGAGCCACCAUGCCUCAUCAUAAGGGUCUUCAAAGAAACCCUAUUUCAUGUUUGCUUUCCAUAUGCUGGAUGAUGUGUGUGGAUUUUCAGUGUGUGUUUCAGAGUCUUAAAAGCUCAUGCUAGCUUGCUUAACAUACCUGCUAUAACUCAUGAUAUAGAACCCUAUGGAGAACUGUGUUGCAACAUGGAUGCAGUGCCUAUACUAAGGCACAUUGCCAAGCUGAAGACUGUCAGAGAGCAUCACUAACGGAGGACCUAGUUGUCUCACCUGUGGUGGUGGAAAGAGCACCAAGCUUGGAACCAGAGGGUCCAGGUUCGGGUCAUUGUCAUCGUGUAAGCAUGGGCAGGGCCACUGUCAUAAGGACGCCUGGAAGAGUGAAGAAAGGCCUGAUUGAUCACAAGGUCCUAUCAAAUGUCAAAGCUGGCCCUGGCUGACCUCCCAUCUAUUCAGAGCUGCUUUGAUUUAAUCUCCAAACUGGCUGCUUCUCCAGGCUAGAAGAGAAUUGAAAAUUUCAAGAAGGCAAAGGUGAUGGAAGUGUCUUCAUGAGACCCUUGGGUAACAUAAAUUGGCAAAGAAUUGGAUGAUCUGGGUUCUAAGAUCUGGCCUUAAAACUAGCCAUCUAUUGACUGAGUAAGUUACUUCACUUUUUGGUGGUCUUAGUCUCUUGAUAUUCACCACACAGGGUUUGGAAAAAAUGUAUUUCUUUGUUCCUACUAUGGCUAAAUUAUAUGGAUUUUUUCUGUCCUGUAUUCAGAAUCAGAUACUAGUUUUUCCUUCAUACGUCAAUAAUGUGUAUAAGCACCCAGGGCCAGAUACAUUCUAAGUGUUCAAUAAGUAUUUGUUGAGUGAAUGGAUGUAGUUAGUUGUCUGCCUGGAUCAAUAGCUCCUUUAACACUCCAUUAUUAAAGCUUGAUAUUUUCCACACCUAGACUUAAGCAAAGUGUUCAAACAUGGAUGUUUUUGAUGCAGGUGAAAUAUUUUGCUACAGAGUGGUAGAGGAUCACUGGGCACAAUCCUCUGCUCUUGAAUUGCUAAAAGGGCCUACUUCCAGAGAUGGCCAAGAAAGUUUGGGACUCUAGCACUCAGCUGAUUUUCCUAAAGAAAAGCCCUCAGGAUGUGCUCAAAGACCUGGAUCAGGCACACUGAGGUGAUGAUGGGAGGUCAGGAAAAUGGCCAGAAUGGAACUAAGAUUUAACUUCCCAGAACACUCGUAUACGAUUUUUCUGAAAAGUUUUUUCCGCACCUUAGCAAUAUUAACUACUUUGAAUACUCAAGUCCAGAAUAAUUACAUUUUCCUUCUUUCACAUUCUGACACUUAUAUAUAUAUCACUUAUGAGAUAUUUAAUACUACUCUUUUGAGAAUGAAUAGUUUAUUUUUAGUGUGAUGAUGUCUUUUUAAUCGAAUGAAACUGUUAGCAUCAACAAGGACAGAGAUACUACCUUACCUUUAUUUCUGGCACACAGUUCUCUGUAUCUCGCAAACUCCAGCACAGUAUAAUCUACUCAGCAUCAGACAUAUGGGAAAACACUAUCUAAAUAGGAAAGCAUUGUACAAACAUUAGUAGUUGUUAUUAUGAUUAGAAUUGAUGUUUCAGGUCAUUUAAUAAUUACUCUUACUUCUGGUACAUACCCUCCUCCAGGAACGUAAAAGCUCGUCAGUGUUUUCUGGGCUUAGCAUAGAUGUCCUGAGAUCUUAGCAUUUCUAGGAUUUCAAACUGUACAAGAAUAUACAAAAGAACAUUUAUCAUGCUCUCCAUUCAGAAGGAUAAUAUUAAAAAUUAAUAAGCAUUUUAGUCUGCUGGGAUGCAACAUAAUUCAGGGGAGGGGAGGAGGUCCGUCGCUAUCUUUUUCAAGGGCAAUUCACAACGACACUUUGCUUGAUAAAUUCCUGAAGCUUGAUGUUCUCCUCACCAUUAUACAAUGUGAGUGCUGAUAAGGUCUUUUAAAAAUAACAAUACUUUAUUUUAAAUUAGUCCAUCUGUUUGGGGAAAAAGGGAGCAGUGUGUACCUAUAUAGGUGUCAUAUCCUUUAGUCCCAUAAAUUUCACAGCUAAAAUUAUAUCUUCUUUUUUUGUUUGUUUGAAAUGGAGUCUCACUCUGUUACCCAGGCUGAAAUGCAGUGGCACAAUUUCGGCUCACUGCAGCCUCCGCCUCCUGGGCUCAAGUGAUUCCCCUGCCUCAGUCUCCUGAGUAGCUGGGAUUACAGGUGCCCAACACCGCACCUGGCUAAUGUUUGUAUUUUUAGUAAAGAUGGGGUUUCACCAUGUUGGCCAAGCUGGUCUUGAACUCCUGACCUCAGGUGAACCACCUGCCUUGGCCUCCCAAAGUGCUGGGAUUACAGAAAUGAGCCACCACGCCUGGCCUAAAACUGUAUCUUAAAAAAAAUAGUUCACGUAAGAAACAAAAAUCUUAAGGAAGGAAUGACUUUACUUGUGACUUAUUGAUCAUAAAAGGAACUUGGAAACAAUUUGGAUGCCCAAUAUUAGAAAUGCUUAAAUAAAUUAUACUAGCAAGAAAACACAUUAGGAAGAUGUUAACAUUUAGCACUUUAGAGCUUAGACAAAUAUAUAGAAAAAUUUUUUUUGGAAAAGCUUAAUGCGAUAUUUGUACACAAGUAUGUGAAAUGUUCAUAUGUAUAUGAAUGCUAACAUUCCCCAAAAGCAAAGACUUAUUUUACUGGGUAGGCUGUUUGCAUUGUACAAAAAACAUGAGUUUAGAAUUAGAGCUAGAUUUAAAUUCCAGUUCUUCCAUAAGCUGUGUGACACUCGCAAAUUAUUAAUCCUCUCUGGAUAUGUAUUUCCUUAUUAGCAAGUGUGUGUGUGUGUGUGUGUGUGUGUGUGUGUGUGUGUGUGUGUGUGUGUGUGUGUGUGUUAAGCAAAGCCACUUUAACAGUCUAGGACAUAGUAGGAGCUCAAUGCUAUUAUUUCCCUUUCCCUUUACUAAAUACCUGAGACUUCCUUGGUUUAAAAAGUUUUGUUCAAAUUGACUGAUUUUUAUAGAAAUUUCAAUGUCGUUGUUUUUGACCCAUGCAAGAAUUUCUAACGGACGAGACUCUAUUAAUUAAUGUGAUAAUUUUCCUGUAAUUGGUCAAUAAUCUUUACAUUUGAAUAGAUUUCAGAACAGUAUUAAAUAUCUUGGGUUGGAGGUUAAUUUCUGUAAACAAAAAUGUAUAUCCAACAGUGUUGCAUUUUAGCUGAUCUUGACUAUAAACGAGUGCAAUUUGUGUUCAUUUCCCAUAUAUCAUUGACACUAAAUUUUGGAGCACUUACAUCUGGGUUAUGUUUGAGUAACCUUCUGGGAGUAUCUCUCCAUAGAUUUGGGAAUGAAAUAUCUCCCAAAUAUAAUGCAAUUUCAGAAUGCCUAGAAACUCACUACAUAGUAUAUAUGCGUAUUUAAAAGAAACUGGUCUCAUACAUGAUAAAAGAAGGGUAAUGCUAGACAUAAUGACUGUUGCCACUUGGUAGCAGGGGCCAGAGAGAACAGGAAAAAGAUUAAACAAGACGAUUAAAAUUAUUUUUCAAGUAAGGCUAUACCUCUGUAUACAUGCUUAAUUACAAAAGGAAAUUAGGAGCAAGUGCAUGUAUAUUACUGCAUGUAUAAACGUAGAGUUUAAUCGGUUUGGAGUAAAUUAAUGACUGCUUGCAAUAUUUCUGGCGAUUUGUUCUAAGCUUUGUGGUUUUAAAUUGGUUUCUUGAAAAUGCUGGAUAAAACAUUUGAAUUCACACAUUGUUUUAGGAAUUGAUUUGGGGAUAAUAAAAUAUAAUGAAAUGUUUCA